Cherax quadricarinatus is the source of this 976-nucleotide non-coding RNA. Lineage: Eukaryota; Metazoa; Arthropoda; Malacostraca; Decapoda; Parastacidae. The record is from RefSeq and is a predicted model, not a curated record.
UGCUAUUGUACAUCUAGGAGGGCUUCAGCUCAAGCUGUGAAAUGUCCAGGACACUUGCUAUUGUGCAUCUAGGAGGGUUCAGCUCAAGCUGUGAAGUCCAGGAUAUGUUGGUGAGGGGCUCUUGAUUUAGGGAAUUAGAUCUGUGCUCCAGUUCCCCGAAUUAAGCCUGAAUGCCUUCCACAUCCCCCCCCCAGGUGCUGUAUAAUCCUCCGGGUUUAGCGCUUCCCCCUUAAUUAUAAUAAUAAUAAUAAUAAUAAUAAUGUGAAGUCCAGGACACUUGCUAUUGUGCAACUAGGAAGGUUCAGCUCAAGCUGUGAAGUCCAGGACACUUGCUAUUGUGCAACUAGGAAGGUUCAGCUCAAGCUGUGAAGUCCAGGACACUUGCUAUUGUGCAACUAGGAAGGUUCAGCUCAAGCUGUGAAGUCCAGUUUGUGUUUUCUCAGCCAAUCAGUCUCCAUUUCACUGCCAAAUGGAUGGACCAAGGACUCAAGUCUUCCAGUAUACUUUAGUAUACAUUAUUUGUAGCUUUGUAUAAUGUGCCAAAAAGUUCAUAAUGUUAAUUUUUAAUGGUAAAGUUUAUUUCCACCCAAUGUUCUGAUUUAAGUUAUGAGUUUGGAUAACAUUUAUAAUAUAUAAGUAAUCAUGUUUUUUCACUAAGUCACCCUACCUUGCUGCAAAAUAUAAAUUGUAAUUAAUGAAUUAUAAAUGCUGUUUUGAAAUACAGUAUAUAAUAAUAAUAAUACUAUUAUUAUGUGUAAUAAUACAAGAAAUACAAUGGUAUUUGACCAGAUUUAUUGGUACAUAAUGUUUGCUUGUUCCUUAUUAUACACAGUAUUUCACACAAGUUUUCAGAUAACACAGGUGUAUAUGUGAAGUGUUAAUUAUAUUCAUAGUUCAUUGGUAACUUCAUAAAAAUAUAGCCAACAAGCACUGCUAAAAAUGUUUUAAGAAAUAAAAUUGAUAAAUAUCUAAUGAA